CCGGGUUUCCGAGCGGGAAGUUCAGAUGUUCAGUGUUGUUGUUGUUUACUACUCAUAUACUCCGUUUACCUCAGUCAACACACACAUAAAAAACACGUUUAGAAGGAAGUUUAACUGAGAUCUGCAACCAUGAACAGUAACGCAGAGGAGAGGAGCGACUCUGCUGCACCCAAAGGUUUCGGACAGUGUACCUACACAGCCGAGGAGUACCAGGCGGUGCAAAACGCUCUGCAGAGGAAGCUGGGACCAGAGUACAUCAGUACUAGAGUGGCUGGAGGAGGACAGAGGG
This is a long non-coding RNA of Morone saxatilis (striped sea-bass), 289 nucleotides long. RefSeq lists it as uncharacterized. The transcript has 3 exons. The record is from RefSeq and is a predicted model, not a curated record. NCBI's taxonomy places the organism in Eukaryota, Metazoa, Chordata, Actinopteri, Moronidae.